GACAGAGGUGCCAAGCGUUAGGCGGAAUCACUGGGCUUAAAGCGUGUGUAGGCGGAGUGCUAAGUACCUUGUGAAAUCCCACGGCUCAACCGUGGAACUGCUGGGUAUACUGGUUCUCUUGAGCGACCCAGGGGCGAGCGGAACAAACGGUGGAGCGGUGAAAUGCGUAGAUAUCGUUUGGAACGCCAAAGGUGAAAACAGCUCGCUGGGG
RNAcentral lists this ribosomal RNA (211 nucleotides) under uncultured prokaryote. Its description in RNAcentral is "partial 16S ribosomal RNA". It matches the Rfam family "Bacterial small subunit ribosomal RNA", at positions 524 to 734 of the family's 1533-position model. The record is from RNAcentral.